Cercocebus atys (sooty mangabey) is the source of this 118-nucleotide ribosomal RNA. The record is from Ensembl. NCBI's taxonomy places the organism in Eukaryota, Metazoa, Chordata, Mammalia, Primates, Cercopithecidae.
GUCUAUGGCCAUACCACCUUGAACGUGCCUAUCUUGUCUGGUCUUGGAAGCUAAGCAGAAUCAGACAUGGUUAGUACUUGGAUGAGAGACCACCCUGGAACACCUGGUGGUAUUUAAA